UACAGAGGUCCCAAGCGUUGUUCGGAUUCACUGGGCGUAAAGGGUGCGUAGGCGGUCGGGUAAGUCUGACGUGAAAUCUUCAAGCUCAACUUGGAAACUGCGUCGGAUACUAUUCGGCUAGAGGAAUGGAGGGGAGACUGGAAUACUUGGUGUAGCAGUGAAAUGCGUAGAUAUCAAGUGGAACACCAGUGGCGAAGGCGAGUCUCUGGACAUUUCCUGACGCUGAGGCACGAAAGCGCGGGGAGCGAACAGG
This 253-nucleotide ribosomal RNA is filed under the name uncultured bacterium. RNAcentral's name for it is "partial 16S ribosomal RNA". It matches the Rfam family "Bacterial small subunit ribosomal RNA", at positions 524 to 776 of the family's 1533-position model. The record is from RNAcentral.